UACGAAGGGGGCUAGCGUUGCUCGGAAUCACUGGGCGUAAAGGGUGCGUAGGCGGGUCUUUAAGUCAGGGGUGAAAUCCUGGAGCUCAACUCCAGAACUGCCUUUGAUACUGAGGAUCUUGAGUUCGGGAGAGGUGAGUGGAACUGCGAGUGUAGAGGUGAAAUUCGUAGAUAUUGGGAGGAACACCAGUGGCGAAGGCGGCUACCUGGACCGGUUCUGACGCUGAUGCGCGAAAGCUAGGGGAGCAAACGGG
This 253-nucleotide ribosomal RNA is filed under the name uncultured bacterium. Its description in RNAcentral is "partial 16S ribosomal RNA". It matches the Rfam family "Bacterial small subunit ribosomal RNA", at positions 524 to 776 of the family's 1533-position model. The record is from RNAcentral.